GCCUCUUCUAAUGGAGAGAGCCCAUUAAUUUACAGGGGAAAGGCAAGGCAGGCACAAAGGCACAGGUUCUGGCAUUGCUUUGCUUUCUUGCUCUGAAUAUGAAACUGACUUUGGGAGCCUUCUGAAAUUUACAAAACUAAAACAAAAAAGCAUAGGGUACAAGGUCAUCCUGACAUGAACAACCUACCUUACAAGAGAAGAAUUUAAAGAGGCUAUUUGCAUAUUUUUCUGACUUCCCCCUGAGCUAGAGGAUCUCAGCUUCCAGUCAUUCGGAAGAGCAAUACAGUUGGAAUUGGUUAUCUACAGAGCUGCACAAAGAAGUUUUUCAGAUAUAAAGUAAGGCAAGCAAAACUUGGUAGAGCUCUGGGCAAAACCGAAGGUGCACUAUUUCUGUUGACAAUUGUGACUGUCUACAAUGGAUUAGUUAUUUGAAGACCAAACAUGCACCUUGUGGUAAUAUUUAAUUAUCAUUGUGCCAAUGCAAUCAUAAAAUUAGGAGAAAGCA
Long non-coding RNA from Anolis carolinensis (green anole), 505 nucleotides. RefSeq lists it as uncharacterized. NCBI's taxonomy places the organism in Eukaryota, Metazoa, Chordata, Lepidosauria, Squamata, Anolidae. The record is from RefSeq and is a predicted model, not a curated record. The transcript has 3 exons.